AACUAUAGCAGAGGAAAAUAAGCCAUUGUUGACUACCAAGGUUAAGGGGUUGACCAUGGAGCUAUAGAUUCGAAAAAUAAAAGCCUUAGACGGUGAUUUUCUCUUACUUCUCACCUAUUUCAACCGUCAAACCCUCCCAAACACUUUCCAAACCUUUCUCCAACCACCAUGGACCACAUUUAGCAAGUAUUCAACCUUCCAACUUGGAUCUAAGGUAAACAUUGGCAUUUUUAAGCUUAAAUACCAAGAUUUUGACCUAAUUUUAGGAUUUUACAAAUUGCAGCCCAUUUAUUCUAUUUUUAAGCUGAGGAUUUUGGGGGUUUUGUCUCAAGAAGUUUUUGAAGGUAAAAAAGUCUAUGAUUGUUCAUUUUAUGGUUUGGGUUUGAAGGUUAGAAAUUUAUUGAAGGCUAAAUGGAAAGUAGACGAUAACUUGACUAAUUUGAAAAUGGGUUUAUGCUAGGAAAUAGAAACUUAUGAGAGGAUUUAUUUUGCUAGGCAAUUGUUAAAGCUCAAGAUUGUUGACAAGCAAGGUUUUGGUGACAUGAACCUUAAGAAAAGAAUACGCUUCUUGUUUUUUUUUUAGUGGAUACAACACUUACAAACUAUUUUGGUAUGUAAAGUUAAAACAUGAUUUGAUGAGUAUGGUUUCACAUAAAUGUUUUGUUAAGUGAGAAUGUUUUAUGGAUGAUAAAUUGUUUUGAAAUGGUUUUCAAAGCUACUACAUAUAUGUAAAUAUUCUACUUUGUAUUAGUUUUCAACAAAAGGGUGCAACAAGUCUUUUCAAGUGUUUUAUACCAGAAUCACCACUUUUAUGAAAUAUGUAUGAAAUGCUUGAAGCAUGCUAAAUUGCUAUGAUUAUGUGAUAAUGAAUCCCACAUAUUAUAUGAGUUAUGAAGGACUACAUGUCGUAUGUAUAUUAAUUUGUAUGUGAUGACAAUACCACAUACCCCAUGAAUGAGAAUAGGCAUAUGAUGUAAAUUAUGUUAAGAUAUGUGAGGUAAUUUCGACAUAACCCAUGAUAUGAGAAUGAACACAUGUUGAAUGUCAUGAUGCUAAGUAUGUGAGGUAGUUCCACAUACCACCUGUUAUGAGUAUAAGGUCACAACAUAAUGCCAAAUGAACACUAUGAGUCUCAUGAACAAUGGUAAAUUCUGAAAUGAGUAUUCGAUGUUAAGAUGUAAGAGGUUAGUUGUUACCCACGGUUAACGGGGGUUAUUUUCUUAACAAAUUUUAUAAGGUAAUGAAGGAUUUUUCCAUUACCAUCUUUUGAGUAAGGGGAGUGAAACAGUGAUUCCAUUCCCUCAUAUGCGUGCACUCACACCAACGAGAGUUAUACCAGAGGGCCCAUGGUGAAUGGUGGUUAUUCCAUCACAAAUGUUAAAUGAUGAAUGUUAGAUGAUGAAUGUUAAUUGAUGAAUGUUGAUUGAUGAAUGUUACUUAAUGUAUGAUUAAUGUUGUAGCUGAUUAUAUUUAAUGAAUGUGAUGUGUGUUAUUUUUAUCAAUAUGAUUCAUGAAAUGUUGGAACAAGGUUCCUUAAUCUAGUACAAAAGUAAUAAUGUAAGGUUGAUGUAUGAGACUUGGAAUCGGAUAGUUCGAAUUCCUUGACUUUUCAAGUGUUUGGUUGAUGAGCCCUAAAAGGUAAGUCUUGCUUCCAUGAUUUGAGAUGAUUAAUGUAUAAGUUAGCCCUUGUUGGAUGUGAUUAAGAAGGUCUUACAUUUGAAUUGUUUUUCUAAAGGAUUAAAUAAUUUCUUUGUGCAUAAAAAGUGUUUCCAUAGUUUAUUUGGAAUUUCUACUCAAAGAUUUAAAGGAAUGGUAUUUAAGAGACAUGGAUACAACUUUCAUGUUUACCACUAUGCCUAAUUCAAAUCAAAUCAAAGAGAAAAUUGUGUCACAAAAGGGUGGACUGUAGUAGAAUUUGGACAAGCAAGCAUAAAGGAGCCAAAGCCGCGACCUUAAGGAGGCCAGGGUUACGACGCCCUGAUGUGAAGGACAGCAUAGUAUGCCCAAAUAGGCCAAUGUUGUAGCCGUGAUAGAGGAGAAUGUUGUUCAAUGUACUACCCACGUAAGUAUACGUACGCAAAGAUAAUAUAAUGAUGAGUAGAGUAUCAUUCCCAUA
RNAcentral lists this long non-coding RNA (2116 nucleotides) under Theobroma cacao (cacao). Its description in RNAcentral is "long non-coding RNA (TCAC_LNC005929)". Lineage: Eukaryota; Viridiplantae; Streptophyta; Magnoliopsida; Malvales; Malvaceae. The record is from RNAcentral.